This 351-nucleotide unclassified non-coding RNA is filed under the name Hevea brasiliensis (rubber tree). The record is from RNAcentral. Lineage: Eukaryota; Viridiplantae; Streptophyta; Magnoliopsida; Malpighiales; Euphorbiaceae.
GUUCCUUCCAAAAAUUCAACAAUCCAAUAAGUUCAUUUGUUGCCUUAAGACUGUUUCUUUUGCGGAUAAGUUUGCUAUGGAGAUUGAGAAGAUAAAAAGAAGAGUUGCUGAUAUUGACCGUGUAAGGACAACUUACAACAUCACGGAUACAAGUAACAAUAAUGAUGAUUGCAUUCCAAUGGACCAGAGAAGACGAUUCCUUCAUGCUAAUGAUGAAACAGAGGUCAUCGGUUUGGAUCAUGACUUCAACAAGCUCCAACACAAAUUGCUUCUUCAAGAUUUGCCUUACGGAGUUGUUUCAAUAGUUGGCAUGCCCGGUUUGGGAAAAACUACUCUUGCCAAGAAACUUUA